This 226-nucleotide long non-coding RNA is filed under the name Elaeis guineensis (African oil palm). Its description in RNAcentral is "long non-coding RNA (EGUI_LNC072290)". Lineage: Eukaryota; Viridiplantae; Streptophyta; Magnoliopsida; Arecales; Arecaceae. The record is from RNAcentral.
CUUUUUGCUUACGACAGUUGAUGGGACUCCAAAACUAUCUGAUCUCUCUCUAAACUGUUUCGUCUGUAAAAAAAUAUAUUUAUUAAAUUUAUAAAUAUAUCAUUGAGUACAGAUCGAAUUCAGUUGAAUAAUCACAUCUGUUUUAAACUAGCAUACCUCUUGCAGACACAAUGAUGCGAUUUUUGGAUCGAGCACCAUCUUAUAUAUCACAUUACGAAGAGCAGCA